GCCAUCUACAAAAAGGGACCAUACUAUACAGAGUGUGGAGCAAUGAUAGAUGGUUUGUUGGUAACAAAACGUUUGGUGUGGUAUCGCAUUUAAUAGUAGUGUGGGGGGGGGGAGAUCAGCGCCAUAGGAAGCUUCUUUCGUUUGGGGGCGCUGAAAGCGAGGGCCGAAGGCCCGAGGAAAUUUUUAAAUUUAGAGUCUCUGAAAUGCCAUUUCCUGGACUUUGGGGAAGAUUUGACAGAUUUCUGAUUGUCAAAAAACAGCGUUUUUAGUAUGUGGAAAUUUAGAGUUCAGUAGUACUAAAUGGGCGAAAGUGUAUUUAAUUAACGAUAUUUUGGAUAAGUUGCAGGAAAGUAUGGGUAAUAUCUUCAUUCUUUGAAGUUUGUCAUGGAUUAAAUGAUAAAGGUCUGCAUGAUUUUGAAAAAUGAAUGAUUAUUAGCAAAUUAUUGGGGGGCUGCAGCCCCCCAGCCCUCCCCCCCCCCCCCCCCGCGGUUGCUACGGCCCUGGAGAGGUCUGGGGUUUUCUCUCCCAGAAAAUGUUUGUAUUUUUCUACCCCUAUGACUGCAAUUCCCUGCAUUUUCUAAAACAGAUUUUUGGAUAUACAGCAUUACAUUAUGCUGUAGAUAUAGACUGAACCUUCAGUUAAGUACUUGCAUAGUAUGUUUAUGUAGAUACCACAACUUGGCCAUCACUUAGGGAGCCAGCUUGAUAAACUUAGAGUUCCCGACUCCCACGAAACGCCACCAUGGUUGGCACAGAGCGGAAAAAUUUUGAAAAUUUUGCGUCUCUAAAUCGUCGGAAAUGGCAUUUUCAAAGUCUUCUAUACGUCUUUUGUUAGGCCCUUUCAUUAAUUCGUUCAUUAUGAUUUGUGAGUCUAUGAUAUCCACGAGUCAGGAUGGAUUAUUACGAGAAAUGUUAUCAAAAUAUCGAUUACAGAUAUUUGAUUAUAUGUAUAUAUGAUUUCAAAUACUUCUAGUUUCGAAAUCAAAUUGUUUUUUUUUUGGUGGGGGGGCCAAAAUUAUCCCCCCCCCCUUAUAAAACACUUGGUUGAGGGCCUGUUGUCCCCUGCGGUCACUAACUUGUCCAACAACUCAAAUCUAUAGGGUCUGGGAAAUGCAAUCCACUGCCUGGGAAAUGUUUAAAAUCUAAUAAGGUAUUUAUUAAACAUAAAAGACAGGACAUAAGAUUCACAAAGCAAAUUUCAGUUACUAGAAUAUCAAACCUCCCUUCUAAAUUUCAUGUUUUGCUUAUAUUUUAGAGAAAAGGGACUUUGAC
Non-coding RNA from Paramuricea clavata, 1272 nucleotides. The record is from the annotation of a GenBank genome assembly. NCBI's taxonomy places the organism in Eukaryota, Metazoa, Cnidaria, Anthozoa, Malacalcyonacea, Plexauridae.